RNAcentral lists this ribosomal RNA (430 nucleotides) under uncultured bacterium. Its description in RNAcentral is "partial 16S ribosomal RNA". It matches the Rfam family "Bacterial small subunit ribosomal RNA", at positions 29 to 507 of the family's 1533-position model. The record is from RNAcentral.
AACGAACGCUGGCGGCAGGCCUAACACAUGCAAGUCGAACGCCCCGCAAGGGGAGUGGCAGACGGGUGAGUAACACGUGGGAACCUUCCCUAUAGUACGGAAUAGCCCAGGGAAACUUGGAGUAAUACCGUAUACGCCCGAAAGGGGAAAGAAUUUCGCUAUAGGAUGGGCCCGCGUAGGAUUAGCUAGUUGGUGAGGUAAUGGCUCACCAAGGCGACGAUCCUUAGCUGGUUUGAGAGAACGACCGGCCACACUGGGACUGAGACACGGCCCAGACUCCUACGGGAGGCAGCAGUGGGGAAUAUUGGACAAUGGGCGCAAGCCUGACCCAGCCAUGCCGCGUGAGUGAUGAAGGCCUUAGGGUUGUAAAGCUCUUUUGGCGGGGACGAUAAUGACGGUACCCGCAGAAUAAGUCCCGGCUAACUUCGUG